Rosa rugosa (rugosa rose) is the source of this 1249-nucleotide long non-coding RNA. RefSeq lists it as uncharacterized. The transcript has 6 exons. NCBI's taxonomy places the organism in Eukaryota, Viridiplantae, Streptophyta, Magnoliopsida, Rosales, Rosaceae. The record is from RefSeq and is a predicted model, not a curated record.
UCGAUUGUGCUGAGUGAUAGAGAGAGAGAGAGAGAGAGACCAAGACGAUUGGAAUUGCUGCAAACGGAUAAUUAGAAUAUUAGAGACGAAGACGAUUGUUCUUCUUGUUCCCGCGACUUGGCCAGAAACAGAGCGAGGGAGAACUGAUUCGAGACAUCUGUAGUAAAGAAUGAGUUCCAAAGUACGAGAAGACAUAUGAUCAUAGUCAGGCUCAUCAUGAUAUGGUGGGCCUUGGAGGAGAUUAUGUGCUUUGCCAGCAUUUUGGCUUAUGGAGCAAUAUUUGGGAUGAAGUGUUCUGCAUUAAGAUCCUGAAAUUAAGACCUUGAGCACAUCUGGUUCCGAUAACUGGUCUAAAGGCACCAUCUAGGGAUGGAUUGCUCAAGCAUGUUGCUCAAGAUUUGUAAAGUUGACAAAGGAUGUACUUGAAAGAAGAGGCUUUAAGGAAUCCAACUUCUUGAAUGAGGUGGCAGAGGUGGUCAGAACCGUUAAGUAAUUAGGAUUUAGGAGUUGCACAUCUUCCAGCUCCAGCGAUGAUGAUACCCCCAAUACUAAGGUAAACUGAUAGCAAUUUGGUUGGUUUUUAAGUUAUUUCAAAUGUUUGCAGAUUGCAAACCGUCUUAAUACUGGGUUUCUAGCAUUAGGAGAAAGCCUUUGAGGGUCUUGCUCCAAGUGAAUACAGGUGGAGAAGAAUGUAAGUUAACUGGAUUUGAGCUCCUACUUUCACAGAAAUGUUUUGUCUAUUUCUUUCUAUACCUGUAUGUGGAUUUAAUUUUUCUCAAUUAGUGGUUGAGUUGGGGAAUUGGAAGAUUGUUUACGAAGGAUCUGUUUAUAUUAUUGUAUUAGUGUUUGUAAUGCACAAUAUCUUUGUUUUAUUGAUUGUAAUUUUUGGUCUGGUUUUGUUCAUUGAUUGCUUCCAUUAUUGUGAUUAUACAUAUGGUUUUUCAGGUUUUGAAAAUAUACCUAAAAGGAAACUAAUCCUUGGAGAACCAUUCAUGGUCUGUCAAUUAAGGUAUUUCAAGCGAACACUGUUUGCUGCAGCCAAAUCAGAAGUUUCUGGUGCUGCUUAUAUGGCUCAGACGAUGGCCCACCCGCUUGAGGAGUUCUUUGAAUUAGCAUAUAGGAAGCCUGAUGAAGAAAAGGCAGUUGUAUAUGAUACAUGCUUUUUGUCUCCAUUGUUUUCUGUUUUAUGAAUUGGGGGUAUUAGAUUGUAUACUUUGUGAGGAUCAAUUGAAGAAAUUUAAGGUGCAAG